CGUGACUCUCGCCGGCGGGGAGGGGCGUGGACCCAAGAAGUCCCUGUGCGCUUGCGCAGAGACCGAACUACCGCUUUCCCCGUAACCAGGGAGACUGCAGUUUGCAGUGAUGUGGCUAAGAUACCCUUGUGCUAUUAAAGGCACAUUUACGUAUCUUUCAACGCAGUUUGUACCUUUGUUUAGGGUUCUAUUGAACUUUCUCUGUGCUCUUUAGAAAACCGUCGAAUAAAGAACUCAAAUGAUGCUGUUUUUGGACAGGGAGGUCAUGGACCAAGUACAAAGCGGCAAAAGGAUGGAAUUAAGGUACCUGACAUUGUUGAACCCAUGCCUGAUGCCACAUUAGCUCAGGACUACCUACAUGGACAUGGAUAUUUCCAGUGAAAGAAAGAAGAAAGCAUGCUUUUCUCUUGACUGUGCAGAAAAAAAAACUAUGUUUCUUUGAUUCUCCAUUUUACUAGAUGCCAUACCUUUGCAAUUACUUCAUGUGGAGUCUUGACCAAGAUUCAGGAAAUACUAGAACUUUCAGUCCCAGAAGGUUACUCUGGGCAUUACUAGUCCCCAUCAUUAUGAGUUGAGUUUUACUAGUUAAUUUCAGACGAAAAAUAUUUGUUUUUCCCCAAAUUCUGGGGUUACGUACUUUUACUACCUAUGAACUGACAACUGUAUCUUCAGUAAUUACAAUUUCCAACAAAAUGUUAUAGGAAUAAAGAAAAGAUGUUAGUUCAUUAUUCAGAGUUUAUGUUUAUUCCUUUAAUAAAAAGAAAUGGUCUGUAUUUCUUCUUUUCACAUUUAUUUCCUCAGUUCAAACCUGCUUUUCAGGUUAUCCUAUGACUUGAAGUUGACUAAUUUGUUCACCUUAAUUAGUUGUGUUGCAAUAUAUAUGUAAUUAGCUAUUUGCAUUGCAACCUGCACAAAAUUAUUCCUGUUCAUAAACUACUGAGAGGAAAGGGGCUUAAAGUUCAAAGGAGUUUAAUUAUGGUCUUGUAACCAUAUAGAAAAUAUUUGAAUGUUACAUUGGCAUUGGCUCUAUUGCAUUAAAAGAAGUUAUGAAUGACGAAUUGGCAAAGAUUUGCAAGGUGAUGAGUUUAAUCUUGUCUGUAUAAACCUAGACAGAUUUGUUUGCCUAUAAAAACUGGUUCUUAGAAAUCAGUUUGAUAAGUGUCUCAUUUCAUUCUGGUCA
This 1180-nucleotide long non-coding RNA is filed under the name Homo sapiens (human). Its description in RNAcentral is "HSALNT0319476". Lineage: Eukaryota; Metazoa; Chordata; Mammalia; Primates; Hominidae. The record is from RNAcentral.